UACGUAGGGUGCAAGCGUUGUCCGGAAUUAUUGGGCGUAAAGGGCUCGUAGGCGGUCCGUCACGUCGGGAGUGAAAUCCUGGGGCUUAACCCCAGAACUGCUUCCGAUACGGGCAGACUAGAGGUAGGUAGGGGAGAAUGGAAUUCCUGGUGUAGCGGUGGAAUGCGCAGAUAUCAGGAGGAACACCAGUGGCGAAGGCGGUUCUCUGGGCCUUACCUGACGCUGAGGAGCGAAAGCGUGGGUAGCGAACAGG
This 253-nucleotide ribosomal RNA is filed under the name uncultured bacterium. RNAcentral describes it as "partial 16S ribosomal RNA". It matches the Rfam family "Bacterial small subunit ribosomal RNA", at positions 524 to 776 of the family's 1533-position model. The record is from RNAcentral.